RNAcentral lists this ribosomal RNA (414 nucleotides) under Clostridioides difficile. RNAcentral's name for it is "bacterial SSU rRNA". It matches the Rfam family "Bacterial small subunit ribosomal RNA", at positions 1 to 422 of the family's 1533-position model. Lineage: Bacteria; Bacillati; Bacillota; Clostridia; Peptostreptococcales; Peptostreptococcaceae. The record is from RNAcentral.
UUUUAUUUGAGAGUUUGAUCCUGGCUCAGGAUGAACGCUGGCGGCGUGCCUAACACAUGCAAGUUGAGCGAUUUACUUCGGUAAAGAGCGGCGGACGGGUGAGUAACGCGUGGGUAACCUACCCUGUACACACGGAUAACAUACCGAAAGGUAUGCUAAUACGGGAUAAUAUAUUUGAGAGGCAUCUCUUGAAUAUCAAAGGUGAGCCAGUACAGGAUGGACCCGCGUCUGAUUAGCUAGUUGGUAAGGUAACGGCUUACCAAGGCGACCAUCAGUAGCCGACCUGAGAGGGUGAUCGGCCACAUUGGAACUGAGACACGGUCCAAACUCCUACGGGAGGCAGCAGUGGGGAAUAUUGCACAAUGGGCGAAAGCCUGAUGCAGCAACGCCGCGUGAGUGAUGAAGGCCUUCGGG